This 292-nucleotide ribosomal RNA is filed under the name uncultured Bacteroidota bacterium. Its description in RNAcentral is "uncultured Bacteroidetes bacterium partial 16S ribosomal RNA". Lineage: Bacteria; Pseudomonadati; Bacteroidota. The record is from RNAcentral.
GGACUACUCGGGUUUCUAAUCCCGUUUGAUCCCCACGCUUUCGUGCAUGAGCGUCAAUCUCCGCGUAGCCGGCUGCCUUCGCAAUCGGUGUUCCAUGUCAUAUCUAAGCAUUUCACCGCUACAUGACAUAUUCCGCCGGCCUCCACGAUAUUCAAGAUAAAUAGUAUCAACGGCAGUUUCCAAGUUAAGCCCGGAGAUUUCACCACUGACUUAUUUACCCGCCUGCGCACCCUUUAAACCCAGUGAAUCCGGAUAACGCUUGCACCCUCCGUAUUACCGCGGCUGCUGGCAC